RNAcentral lists this ribosomal RNA (422 nucleotides) under uncultured bacterium. RNAcentral's name for it is "bacterial SSU rRNA". It matches the Rfam family "Bacterial small subunit ribosomal RNA", at positions 355 to 774 of the family's 1533-position model. The record is from RNAcentral.
UAAGGAAUAUUGGACAAUGGAGGCAACUCUGAUCCAGCCAUGCCGCGUGAAGGAAUAAGGCCCUAUGGGUUGUAAACUUCUUUUAGACGGGACAAAACCCCUUUACGUGUAAAGGGUUGAUGGUACUGUCAGAAUAAGCAUCGGCUAACUUCGUGCCAGCAGCCGCGGUAAUACGAAGGAUGCAAGCGUUAUCCGGAAUUAUUGGGAUUAAAGGGUGCGUAGGCGGACUAAUAAGUCAGUGGUGAAAGCCUGCAGCUUAACUGCAGAAUUGCCAUUGAUACUGUUAGUCUUGAGUACAGUUGAGGUAGGCGGAAUGUGUCAUGUAGCGGUGAAAUGCUUAGAUAUGACACAGAACACCGAUUGCGAAGGCAGCUUGCUAAGCUGUAACUGACGCUGAGGCACGAAAGCGUGGGGAGCAAACA